Long non-coding RNA from Cydia amplana, 282 nucleotides. RefSeq lists it as uncharacterized. NCBI's taxonomy places the organism in Eukaryota, Metazoa, Arthropoda, Insecta, Lepidoptera, Tortricidae. The transcript is spliced from 4 exons. The record is from RefSeq and is a predicted model, not a curated record.
UAUUGAACGCACGUCGCUCGUCCCCGCGAACGCACGAUCGCAUUACGGAACCUGUGGAUUUCUAGAUAUUCUAGUGAAGUGCACUAACUAAACAAAUAAAGUUGUUUUAUUAACUACUGCUGUGUAUGUGUGGAUUUGGCAUUUGGAUUUCAAAAGUUUUCAACAAAGUCUGCGCUGAAUAAAUAAAAGAGCCGUGAGCGGAGUGGACAUAAAGAUUGUGAGGCGACCUCAAGAUUAUGGAAAGAAACAAAUGCUCAUGGACACGUUACAUAUGAAAAAAGA